This 498-nucleotide ribosomal RNA is filed under the name uncultured bacterium. RNAcentral's name for it is "partial 16S ribosomal RNA". It matches the Rfam family "Bacterial small subunit ribosomal RNA", at positions 29 to 507 of the family's 1533-position model. The record is from RNAcentral.
AGCGAACGCUGGCGGCGUGCCUAACACAUGCAAGUCGAACGUGAAAAGGGAAACCUGAGUACAGUGGCGUACGGGUGAGUAACGCGUAGGUAAUCUACCCCAGAAUCUGGAAUAACCUGCCGAAAGUCGGGCUAAUACUGGAUAGAGCGAGGGAACUCGUAAGAGAGUUUUUCGGGAAAGGGAGCCCGCAAGGGCCUUCGUUCUGGGAUGAGCCUGCGUCUCAUUAGCUAGUUGGUAAGGUAACGGCUUACCAAGGCGAUGAUGAGUAGCUGGUCUGAGAGGAUGAUCAGCCACACUGGAACUGAAACACGGUCCAGACUCCUACGGGAGGCAGCAGUGGGGAAUCUUGCGCAAUGGACGAAAGUCUGACGCAGCCACGCCGCGUGAGUGAAGAAGGCCUUCGGGUUGUAAAGCUCUGUCGGAUGGGACGAGCAUCUUCAUAGUGAAUAGCUAUGAGGACUGACGGUACCAUCAAAGGAAGCACCGGCUAACUCCGUG